GACGCAUGUUGAACUUCAAGCACUGAGAAGAGGCGAAAUUCUGUCUUUAGGACAUUGCGAAUACGCAAGCCUCUAUCUUCAAUAAAAGUCAGUAUUCUGUACUUAAUUUAUAUUUGCACAUUUAUACAGAUUUCGUACUUUUGCUACUGUUUAUAUUUUAAGAGUUGUGCAAUAAUAUAGUGAUCCUAUAGUAUAAAACAUUUACUGAUUAUUUUCUAACAAUCUAAAGACAGAAUCUUAUCCUUAAUGGAAGAAUCUGUAAGUAGCGUGAAGAUGACUGAUAUAGUCAAUGUCAGCGGCGUCAAAACUCAUGUUAAGGAACCAGAGAAGUUCAAAAGGGUGGAUUUCAAACGCUGGCAACAGAAAAUGCUGUUUUACUUGACAACACUGAAUUUGGCUCAUGUAGUCAAAGAGGAAGUUCCUGUGGCAACAGAGAAUCCGAUACCUGCAGCCAAAUUAAAUGCUAUUGAUGCUUGGAAACAUUUUGAGUUUCUCUGCAGGAAUUAUAUUCUCAGUUCAUUGGAUGAUACCUUGUAUGAUGUUUAUUCUUCAUACAAGACUGCCAAGGAAUUGUGGGAGUCUCUCGAAAAAAAGUACAGAACAGAGGUUGCUGGUACAAAGAAAUUUGUCAUUGGGAAAUUUCUGAAUUACAAAAUGAUAGACUCCAAGUCAGUGGUUAAUCAAGUGGAAGAACUCCAGAUCAUUAUGCAUGAACUGCAUAAUGAAAACAUGAUCAUGAACGAGAACUUUCAAGUGGGUUCGAUCAUAGAGAAGUUGCCUCCUUCCUGAAAUGAUUUCAAGAUCUAUCUGAAACACAAGAAAUCUGACAUGACCCUGGAUGAUUUGGUUCUGAAACUAAGAGUUGAACAGGAUCACAGAAUUAUUGCGAAAGUGGAUGGUGCUUCCUCUAAAGCCAAAGUCAACAUUGUUGAAGGCAAAGUCUCUGCUGGAAAGCCAAAAUACAAUUCCCAGAAAAAUAAAGGCAAGUCCUAUUUUAAAAUAGCACCAAACAGCAAGAAUUUUAAGAAAAUAAAAGGGAGUUGCUGGGUGUGUGGAAAAGUUGGACACAAGGCACAAGAUUGUCGCCACAAGAAAGAUGGAGUUUCUGCCAAGUCUGCCAAUAAUCAAGCAAAUGUAACUGAAGAUGUUUUGGCUGCUGUAGUGUCUGAAACGAAUAUGGUUUUAGAUACAAAAGAUUGGUGGAUUGAUACUGGUGCAACCAAGCACAUAUGUGGCGACAAGAGCAUGUUCUCUACAUACCAAGAAAUUUCUGGUGGAGAACAACUCUACAUGGGAAAUUCCUCAACUGCUGCCAUUGCUGGAAAAGGAAAGGUGCUGCUGAAAUUUACCUCUGGGAAGGAACUAGCCCUUCUAGAUGUACUUCAUGUCCCUGAUAUUAGGAAGAACUUAGUGUCUGGUCCAUUGCUCAGCAAUAAGGGCUUUAAACUAGUGUUCGAAUCAGACAAGUUUGUUCUCACUAAAGGGGGAAUGUUUGUGGGAAAGGGUUAUUUGGCUGAGGGUUUGUUCAAACUUAAUGUAUUGGCUACAAAUGCUAUUAAUAAAAUAAAUAAGGCUUCCGUUUACAUUGUUGAGUCUUGUGAUAUUUGGCAUGCUAGAUUAGGACAUGUUAAUUUCCGUUGUUUAGAUAGAAUGAUCAAUUUAAGGUUGCUGCCAAACUUUAAAAUUGAUCACAACAAUAAAUGUGAAAUAUGCACAGAAUCAAAAUUUGCAAGGCAAAGUUUCAAAUCUGUUUUUGGAAGAUCUAAUGAGUUGUUAGGUUUGAUUCAUUCAGAUCUUUGUGAUUUUAAAUCAACACCAACUCGUGGAGGAAAGAAUUAUUAUAUUACUUUCAUUGAUGAUUGCAGUAAAUUUUGCUAUGUCUAUCUGAUAAAUAGCAAGGAUGAGGCUUUGAAUAUGUUCAAGACAUAUAAAGCUGAAGUUGAAAAUCAAUUAGAGAGAAAAAUUAAAGCUCUAAGAUCUGAUAGAGGAGAAGAGUAUGAGUCUAUAGCCUUCUCUGAAUUUUGUGCUCAACAUGGAAUAGUUCAUCAAACAACAGCUCCAUAUACACCUCAACAAAAUGGUGUUGCUGAAAGAAAAAAUCGAACUUUCAAGGACAUGAUCAACUCCAUGUUGAAUAGUUCAGGGCUUCCACACAAUUUGUGGGGUGAAGCCUUAUUUACUGCAAAUACAAUCUUGAACAAAAUUCCACAUAAGAAGACUAAUAAACCUCCUUAUGAAGUGUGGAAAGGUAGAAUUCCUACAUAUAAAACCCUUAAAGUGUGGGGUUGCCUUGCAAAAGUUCAAGUACCCUUGCCAAAACGAGUUAAACUUAGACCAAAAACAGUAGAUUGUGCAUUCAUUGGUUUUGCAAACAAUAGUACAGCCUAUAGAUUCUUAGUGGUUAAAUCAGAAAUUUCUGAUAUUCAUGUUAAUACUAUCAUAGAAUCUGUAGAUGCAGAAUUUUUUGAACAUAUUUAUCCCUACAAAGAAAAUAGGUCCUGUCCAACUAGAAAAAGAUCACUUGAACCAACUCAAAGUGACAUUCCUUCUUCAUCAAGGGUUCAUGAAAAUGAAAUGGAACCAAGAAGAGGAAGUAGAACGAAAAUCCCAAGAAAUUUUGGACCUGAUUUUCUAACCUUCUUGUCAGAAGCUGAACCACAAACAUACAAGGAAGCGAUGACUUCCAGUGAGGCUACCUUUUGGAAGGAAGCAAUUAAAAGUGAGAUGGAUUCCAUUUUACAAAAUUAUACCUAGCAAUUGGUUGAUUUACCACCUGGUAAUAAACCAAUUGGUCAUAAAUGGAUAUUCAAAAAGAAAUUGAAGGCUGAUGGUUCUAUAGACAAAUAUAAGGCACGUCUAGUAGCAAAAGGCUAUAGACAAAAAGAAGGGCUGGAUUACUUUGAUACAUAUUCACCUGUAUCAAGAAUCUCAUCUAUAAAAAUAUUAAUUUCCAUAGCAGCCAUACAGAAAUUGGAGAUACAUCAAAUGGAUGUUAAAACCGCCUUUUUGAAUGGAGAAUUAGAUGAAGAAGUCUAUAUGGAACAACCAGAAGGGUUUGUGGUUAAAGGACAAGAAAAGAAAGUGUGCAAAUUAAUUAAGUCAUUGUAUGGACUUAAACAAGCACCAAAAAUGUGGCAUGAAAAAUUUGAUCAUGUUAUGCUGUCAAAUGGUUUUAAGAUCAAUGAGAGUGACAAAUGCGUAUAUGUAAAGAGUUUCAAGAACUCAUGUGUCAUAGUAUGUUUAUACGUUGAUGACAUGCUCAUAAUGGGUACUAACAAAGAUAUCAUUAAUUCUACAAAGAAAAUGUUGUGUUCAAGUUUUGAUAUGAAGGACCCGGGACUUGUAGAUAUCAUACUUGGAAUUAGAGUUCAAAGAACCAAACAAGGUUAUUUUUUGACUCAAUCCCAUUAUGCAGAAAAAAUACUUAGGAAAUUUGGUCACUUUGAUGAUCCAUCCGUUGUGACCCCUUUUGAUCCAUCAAUUCAUCUAGCUAAAAAUAAUGGAGAUGCAGUAUCUCAGCUAGAAUAUUCACAAGUGAUUGGAAGCUUAAUGUAUAUGAUGAAUAGUACAAGGCUUGAUUUAGCUUAUGCAGUGAGCUGGCUUAGUCGAUAUACUAGUAAUCCAUCUUAUGAUCAUUGGAAGGCUUUGAUUAGAGUGCUACAAUUUAUUAAAGGCACAAUAAGUUAUGGUUUGCAUUACACAAGUUACCCACCAGUUUUAGAAGGAUAUAGUGAUGCAAACUGGAUUUCUGGUGAAAGUGAAACGAAAUCCACUAGUGGCUAUGUUUUUGUAUGUGGAGGGGCAACAGUAGCUUGGAAGUCAACCAAGAAAACGUGUAUAGCACGGUCAACUAUGGAAUCAAAAUUCAUAGCUUUGGACAAGGCUGCUGAAGAAGCAGAAUGGCUUCGAAACUUUAUGGAAGAUAUACCGUUAUUGCCUGAACCGAUAACUGCAGUAUGUAUUCAUUGUGAUAAUAUGGCAGCUAUUGCAAGAGCCAAAAAUAAGAUAUACAAUGGCACAUCAAGGCAUAUAAGGCGAAGACAUAGCACAAUUAGACAGUUGCUCAAAGAUGGAAUAAUCUCAUUAGAUUAUGUAAAGUCAAAGGAAAACAUAGCUGAUCCUUUGACAAAAGGCCUACCUAGAGAGCAAAUUAAAUAUGCGUCGAGGGGAAUGGGUUUAAUGUCAAUUUCAUAAUGAGCUAACCGAAUGGAACCCUAACCUAGCUGAUUGGAGAUCCCAUGGUCUAGGUUCAAUAGGCAAACUGGUUGGGAAUGGCUCAAGGUAUGAACACACUAUUUACUCAUUCCUAUGAUCAAUGUGUGUUGUCUGCAGAAUUUUUUAGGGUAUGUUUUAUACAAAACAUUUAAUGACGUUAAUAUUUUGAUAUUCAAAAGAAGUAUGGCAGAAUACUUUUAAUUAACGUUACCUAUAUAGGAGUAAAUGUGGGGUCGCAUUUAUGAGAAUUACAUGACUACAUUCUCUAAAGCUCCUAUAAGACCGGGAUUUGUUCAAGACCAAAAUGAACACAACCGCAUGAACUUAAGUGUGUAAAGUUUUAAUACAUGUGUGGCGUAUUGUUUCGGUUUACUACAAAACGAUGAACAGUUCAAGGCUAUGAUUUCCACUGAUUCAUUAAGUAGAUCCGAUACGUCUACACUAGGGAAAGUUCAAGUCCAAAAGACACUUUUCCUGCUGUGUAUUUUAUCUAAUUUCUUCUCCAGUUUUUGAGUCUGCAUGUUUUAUUUUCAAAAACAAAUUUGCAUUUCAAAUGUGGGGUAUUGUUGGAAGUUUGAAAGCAAAUGUUCCACAUUGGAGAAAACAAAAGGUUCCAUAUGCUUUAUAAGCAUGAAACCUUGACAUCAACUAAAUAAAGAUUGGUGGGCUGAUGGGCUUGGUAGUGAAGACUAUCAUGGUUGGCUUGCUUGAUUAAUAUUAAUAUUUAAAUAAUCAAGACUUGGGCCUUGGGUCUCUGGAAAAUAAAAUAAUUAAUUUUUAAUUUUCGGAUUUCUUUUGGCAUAAGUUAAAUUCAAACCAGAAAGACUUAUCUUUUUGUUUGAAUUUGAACAGGUAUAACUGAUACCAAUUGCUAUUUUGAAGGGGUGUAAUUCUAUUAUAAAAUCACAAGUUCUAGGCCAUAAGACUAAUCUCUUUUCCUUAAACUAUCUCAUAUUAUUUUAAAGUUACCAACUGUAUUGGAGAGAAGCACACCAACGUUCGCCAGAAUUCAAGGAUCCAGUGCUGGACCCUUGAAUUAUAGAUAGUUGAAUCCUUGGAGAUAGACACAUGUUGAACUUCAAGCACUGAGAAGAGGCGAAAUUCUGUCUUUAGGAUAUUGCGAAUACGCAAGCCUCUAUCUUCAAUAAAAGUCAAUAUUCUGCACUUAAUUUAUAUUUGCACAUUUAUACAGAUUUCGUACUUUUGCUACUAUUUAUAUUUUAAGAGUUGUGCAAUAAUAUAGUGAUCCUAUAGUAUAAAACAUUUACUGAUUAUUUUCUAACACAGUGUUCACGGCCCCACUUAAUAUUUCCCCUUUCACUAACAAUGAUCAUAUAAAACAAGCAACCCCGAGCUUAAAUCUCUGGCCUUUCUCUAUUGUUGAGAUGGGAGGUUGUUUGUUGCCCUUGUCUGUACAAAAUCCCUGCCAUUUGAUAUAAAUAUAUAUUACAAGCGAUAUUGAGAAAGUGGUUUUUUUUUUAUACAAGUGAUUAUUAGUUUUUUGACACAUUAAGAUUCGAAUAUGAAACUACUGAUCCGUAAAAAAAUACACUUUUUUAUUGGAUUAGAACCCGUUGGCAUCUUGCAAUUUAAUUAGUUGAGUUUCACAUAUCAAAGUUUAUUUCUAAUCACAAAAUAUUUUCAGCAUGCUAAUGUAAUGGUUUCAAGGUUUUGGUAAACUGGGACCACACUUUUUUGAACUUUGUAUUUGGGCUGCAAAAAAGUCCCCCCAAGAAUACUCCUUUUUGUUAGACAACUGAGAGAUUGAGCCCAAAUAGAAACUUAUAGCAUAUGGUAUGUUGUAAUUGGACAAAACAUGUUACUCAUUGUGUCACGUGACAAGUUAAUCUCUAUUGAAGUAGUAAACUAGUAGUGCAUGCGUUAGAGGUAUUGUAAGAUCAUAUUAAAUAUUUCCAAGAUAGAUAAUUAUGCAGGAAAUCAUUGUCCUAAUUACCCCAUCAAAUCCGAAUUUUCAUUAUCACAUUAAAUCUUAAGUCUUCUAGCACGUGCAUCACGGAUGCCAAUUAGGGGUGGACAUGAGUUGAAUUGAGUCGGUUUUGGUCCCAAUUCAUAUAUAGCGGUUUAUGAUUUAUUGGACUCAAAAUCCGCUUAUUAUUAAGCCAACCCAACCCUUUUAUGAUCGAGUUAACUCAAAAUUAAGUUAUUUUUAAAUUUUGGUUCCAACUCAUGCAUAGCGGUUUAUGAUUUCUUGGACCUAAUACUAGCUUAUUAUCAGACCAAUUCAACCCAACCCAACCAUCUAAUGAUUGAGUUGAUCCAAAAUUGUUCCCACGCCUAAUGCCAAUUGGCUUUUUAUUUAUUGAGAAAUUAUAUUUUCAUAAAUUGUUUUAUUUCUUAACAUUUUGAUUAAUUAAUGGUAUUAUUGAGAUUAUAUAUAGAUGACAUAAUAUCCUUCAACUAGUUAUCAAAUCAAUUCACCCAUAGUUUUUUGGAAUAAAAUGCACUUUUAACCGGAUGAAAUAUGCAUGGUAUAUGUACAAUGUAAAAAGAAAAGGCAAUAAUUUCAUCAACAAAAAAAGAAGAAGAAAAGGCAAUAAACUGAAAUACAUCCUCGAACUCUCCAAGCAACUUCCAUGUAAAAGGAAGAAGAAAAAAUUACAUAGAAUCUCCAUAUCGUUACAAUUAAUGGUGUUAAUAAUACUUCUUGCGACCUAAAUCUAAAUGGCAUACUCGUUCGAUAUUUACAGCAACAUUUUUUUAAAAACUUUGGGUAAGAUGAUGCACUGAUUUCAUAUACCCGUCAACGUUUUGGUCAUGUAAAAGUUGAUGAUGAAAUUGGAUGCACUGAUUUCUGUUGUGCCUCAGCCUCAAAUUUAAACAAGCAUUCUUUUCUUCUAAUUCUUUGAUCCUUUUUAAAUUGCAAGCCAUGCUCUUACCAAGAGAAGCAAGACGACAAUGCAGCCGGUCUAUCACAAAGGCAAGCAAUAGAGACAACACAAUGAGAGUGGUUUCAGGACUCAAAUGGCCCAUCAUCCCACGCUUCUGAAUCAUCACGAGAAAGAUGAUAUUCCCCACGAGUUUCAGCAUAGCGGUCCCCUAGCAGCUGCGGUUGAUCUCAUCGAGGCUCGACAUCUUCGUCUUUUUUAAAGGCGCUUCGAGCAAAACUAAGAGUAUGAGAACCAUAUCAAUUAAAAUCGUGAGUAGUACUACCGGAACCAUAAUGGAAGUUGGAAGGUUUAGAGUGUAUGUGUUUAGGUAUAUUUAUAUGUUGAAGUUACGUACAUAUUUUUAUACAUAGGUUGUAUUUAUAGAAGAAACUCUAUCCUAGAGUUAUUAGGAGACCUAUUUUGGUAAGGAAUUCAAAUGGGCCGGGUCAAUACUAUCAAAAACUUAUGGUGGUUUGUGAAUUGGAUCAACCAACAGGCCGAAGCCCACUCUCUCACUUUUUAUCUCUGUCUUUCCCUCUCUCAACGUUGUUUGGCAGAUCGAUGGGAAUCUCUUCGGAGAUUUUGUCCCCCAAAAACAAAAAAAAGAAGAGAGAUCCCAUUGCCUCAUUGGAGAUCUUUGGAGGUUUCAGAAAAGAUUUAAAUAUGUUUUUCCUACUUGAGGGAAGUACAUGAAGGCCUACCGCAAACCUGUCUCUUGGUUUUCCACUCCACAUGUGUCCAUAAACACACAUGGUGCAAUUUGAUGUACCUUUGUUGUUUCUCAUGUGCAGCUUUUAUGCAAAAUAAUAUUUUUAUCAAAGAUAACGGUUGCAUAAGUUAG
This 7944-nucleotide long non-coding RNA is filed under the name Prunus dulcis (almond). RNAcentral describes it as "sRNA ncRNA". The record is from RNAcentral. Lineage: Eukaryota; Viridiplantae; Streptophyta; Magnoliopsida; Rosales; Rosaceae.